ACGAACGCUGGCGGCGUGCUUAACACAUGCAAGUCGAACGGAAAGGCCCUGCUUUUGUGGGGUGCUCGAGUGGCGAACGGGUGAGUAACACGUGAGUAACCUGCCCUUGACUUUGGGAUAACUUCAGGAAACUGGGGCUAAUACCGGAUAGGAGCUCCUUCUGCAUGGUGGGGGUUGGAAAGUUUCGGCGGUUGGGGAUGGACUCGCGGCUUAUCAGCUUGUUGGUGGGGUAGUGGCUUACCAAGGCUUUGACGGGUAGCCGGCCUGAGAGGGUGACCGGCCACAUUGGGACUGAGAUACGGCCCAGACUCCUACGGGAGGCAGCAGUGGGGAAUAUUGCACAAUGGGCGGAAGCCUGAUGCAGCAACGCCGCGUGCGGGAUGACGGCCUUCGGGUUGUAAACCGCUUUCGCCUGUGACGAAGCGUGAGUGACGGUAAUGGGUAAAGAAGCACCGGCUAACUACGUG
RNAcentral lists this ribosomal RNA (467 nucleotides) under uncultured bacterium. RNAcentral's name for it is "partial 16S ribosomal RNA". It matches the Rfam family "Bacterial small subunit ribosomal RNA", at positions 29 to 507 of the family's 1533-position model. The record is from RNAcentral.